UAUUGCAUAUAUAUAUGUGUGUGUGUGUGUGUGUGUGUGUGUGAGUGUGUAAGUACAGACACACAUACACAUAUUUUAGGCAUAUAUAUAUA
This 92-nucleotide microRNA precursor is filed under the name Mustela putorius furo (domestic ferret). RNAcentral describes it as "miRNA (ENSMPUG00000021527.1)". Lineage: Eukaryota; Metazoa; Chordata; Mammalia; Carnivora; Mustelidae. The record is from RNAcentral.